CCUACGUGAGGCAGCAGUGGGGAAUAUUGGGCAAUGGAGGAAACUCUGACCCAGCCACGCCGCGUGAAUGAUGAAGGUCUUCGGAUUGUAAAGUUCUUUUCUAAGGGAAGAAGAAAGUGACGGUACCUUAGGACUAAUCCUCGGCUAACUACGUGCCAGCAGCCGCGGUAAUACGUAGGAGGCAAGCGUUAUCCGGAAUGACUGGGCGUAAAGGUUUCUUAGGUGGUUUGAUAAGUUGGUAGCGUAACUCCGAGGCUAAACCUCGGCACUACUACCAAAACUGUCGGACUUGAGUGCAGGAGGGGCAACUGGAAUUCCUAGUGUAGCGGUGGAAUGCGUAGAUAGUAGGAGGAACACCAGUGGCGAAGGCGAGUUGCUGGACUGUAACUGACACUGAGGAACGAAAGCGUGGGGAGCAAACAGGAUUAGAUACCCUGGUAGUC
RNAcentral lists this ribosomal RNA (443 nucleotides) under uncultured bacterium. RNAcentral describes it as "partial 16S ribosomal RNA". It matches the Rfam family "Bacterial small subunit ribosomal RNA", at positions 338 to 795 of the family's 1533-position model. The record is from RNAcentral.